This is a ribosomal RNA of Aotus nancymaae (Ma's night monkey), 136 nucleotides long. Lineage: Eukaryota; Metazoa; Chordata; Mammalia; Primates; Aotidae. The record is from Ensembl.
GUCUACGGCCAUACCACCCUGAAUGCACCCGAUCUCAUCUGAUCUCAGCAGCUAAACAGGGUGGGGCCUGGUUAGUACUUGGAUGGGAGAAUUGUGAGUAACGAGAAAAUAAUGACAGCAGCAAGGGUCAUGGGCC